This 492-nucleotide ribosomal RNA is filed under the name uncultured bacterium. RNAcentral's name for it is "partial 16S ribosomal RNA". It matches the Rfam family "Bacterial small subunit ribosomal RNA", at positions 29 to 507 of the family's 1533-position model. The record is from RNAcentral.
AGUGAACGCUGGCGGUAGGCCUAACACAUGCAAGUCGAACGGCAGCACAGUAAGAGCUUGCUCUUACGGGUGGCGAGUGGCGGACGGGUGAGGAAUACAUCGGAAUCUACUUUUUCGUGGGGGAUAACGUAGGGAAACUUACGCUAAUACCGCAUACGACCUACGGGUGAAAGCAGGGGAUCUUCGGACCUUGCGGGAUUGAAUGAGCCGAUGUCGGUUUAGCUAGUUGGGGGGGUAAAGGCCCACCAAGGCGACGAUCGGUAGAUGGUCUGAGAGGAUGAUAAGCCACACUGGAACUGAGACACGGUCCAGACUCCUACGGGAGGCAGCAGUGGGGAAUAUUGGACAAUGGGCGCAAGCCUGAUCCAGCCAUACCGCGUGGGUGAAGAAGGCCUUCGGGUUGUAAAGCCCUUUUGUUGGGAAAGAAAAGCAGCAGGUUAAUACCCCGCUGUUCUGACGGUACCCAAAGAAUAAGCACCGGCUAACUUCGUG